This 468-nucleotide ribosomal RNA is filed under the name uncultured bacterium. Its description in RNAcentral is "partial 16S ribosomal RNA". It matches the Rfam family "Bacterial small subunit ribosomal RNA", at positions 28 to 507 of the family's 1533-position model. The record is from RNAcentral.
GACGAACGCUGGCGGCGUGCUUAACACAUGCAAGUCGAACGGAAAGGCCCUGCUUUUGUGGGGUGCUCGAGUGGCGAACGGGUGAGUAACACGUGAGUAACCUGCCCUUGACUUUGGGAUAACUUCAGGAAACUGGGGCUAAUACCGGAUAGGAGCUCCUGCUGCAUGGUGGGGGUUGGAAAGUUUCGGCGGUUGGGGAUGGACUCGCGGCUUAUCAGCUUGUUGGUGGGGUAGUGGCUUACCAAGGCUUUGACGGGUAGCCGGCCUGAGAGGGUGACCGGCCACAUUGGGACUGAGAUACGGCCCAGACUCCUACGGGAGGCAGCAGUGGGGAAUAUUGCGCAAUGGGCGGAAGCCUGAUGCAGCAACGCCGCGUGCGGGAUGCCGGCCUUCGGGUUGUAAACCGCUUUCGCCUGUGACGAAGCGUGAGUGACGGUAAUGGGUAAAGAAGCACCGGCUAACUACGUG